AUACGGAGGGGGUUAGCGUUGUUCGGAAUUACUGGGCGUAAAGCGCACGUAGGCGGAUUGGAAAGUUGGGGGUGAAAUCCCAGGGCUCAACCCUGGAACUGCCUCCAAAACUAACAGUCUAGAGUUCGAGAGGGGUGAGUGGAAUUCCAAGUGUAGAGGUGAAAUUCGUAGAUAUUUGGAGGAACACCAGUGGCGAAGGCGGCUCACUGGCUCGAUACUGACGCUGAGGUGCGAAAGCGUGGGGAGCAAACAGAAUUAGAAACCCUAGUAGUCC
RNAcentral lists this ribosomal RNA (274 nucleotides) under uncultured bacterium. RNAcentral's name for it is "partial 16S ribosomal RNA". It matches the Rfam family "Bacterial small subunit ribosomal RNA", at positions 523 to 796 of the family's 1533-position model. The record is from RNAcentral.